RNAcentral lists this microRNA precursor (151 nucleotides) under Glycine max (soybean). RNAcentral describes it as "miR5038a stem-loop (gma-MIR5038a)". The stretch from base 59 to 133 matches the Rfam family "MIR5038 microRNA precursor family". Lineage: Eukaryota; Viridiplantae; Streptophyta; Magnoliopsida; Fabales; Fabaceae. The record is from miRBase by way of RNAcentral.
UGGGCAUCCAUUUUUCCCAAAUUUCAGAACUGUUUUAGGUUGAACUUCUCUAAAUUUUCUUGAGAAUUUGGCCUCUGUCCAUGUCUAAUUAUUAAUUCCAAUAAUUGAGAUGGAUAGAGCCCAAAUUCUCAAGAGAAUUUGUAGAAGCAAA